RNAcentral lists this long non-coding RNA (1341 nucleotides) under Olea europaea subsp. europaea. Lineage: Eukaryota; Viridiplantae; Streptophyta; Magnoliopsida; Lamiales; Oleaceae. The record is from RNAcentral.
UGAUAACAAACUAACAUACUAACUUAUCUGAGAAAGAACGGAAAUUGAUAACAUCACGAGUAAUCCUAUUUAGCGUUGUUGGAUUUCAAUCCCAGUCUAUAUCAUUUAAUUUCACCUUUCAUUUAAGCUAUGAUCUAAUGCCAUAGCAUUCACGCAAAAUCGAAGAACCCUAAUCAAAUUCGUCCAAAUCGUGCUUCUCUGUUGCGAUCAGCGUCCGACAAAUUAGUCGGCAUGCCCACGUCACCUAAUCGGUUCUCGACCUGCAGCACAUAUGAGGUUUCAACCGGUACAAAUGGACGAUGCUGACGGAGGUAUGAAUGUUUUAUGUGUAAAUGCAAAUUCUGAUAGGAUUCUGCAAAAAGCUGUAUGUAUAACUACGGAGUUAUAGUUGUUGGCAUGAAACGGGUCAAAUCCGCAGGAAACCAAGUAUUUUGGUUGACAUUUGAGCACUACACAACCAAAAUAAAAAAACUUAGUGUUUCCACUGGAUGUUCAAAAUUUUUUAUGGUUGGGGAAAAAAAAUUCUAAAAAGAUAGUUGUUUUAGUUAUGCCCAUCAUCAUUACCAAAGUUCAUUUCAUUUCUCUAAUGAGUUGAUUAUUCUGAAAUUGACUGUGAUUGGAACAGAAAUGAGUGGAAAAAGGAAAAAAAAUGGCUUAUUAAAUUUUAUUUAGUUUUCAAUUAAUGAUUAAGAUCGUUUUAAUUAGUUUUCGGGUUUUGAGGAAGAUGAUAUUAUGUACAAAUGCAAUGUCACGGAUGGCAUCGAAAUUGGAAUGAACGAUACGGAAAUAGGACAUGAAAGAGCAAGCAUGCUUAUCAGGGAACGACAACAUAUCCGAUUGGAAUGUUCAUUUGAGGAAGAGGUUGAUUAUCGGUUCCCAGAAUUUUUGGCUAAAACAGAUAUGAGAAAUCCUUAGUUUGACGUUGGCCAACUGUUUUGGUCAAUGCAAGAUUUUAGAAUUGUAGUGAGAGCAUAUGGUGCUACGAACGGGUAUAAUGUAAAGUUCAAUGGCAACGCCGUAUAAUCAACGAAUGUAGCAGAAUACAAACAUUGGAUGAAAAUAAUUAGUGAAGUGAAGCUGCACAUAAUUGGUUGAUAAAGAGGUACCCUUGGGAGUGGAGUCAAUCUCAUUGUUCAAUACAAUUGAAGUGCGACAUUGUACCCUCAGCAUUUUGCGUUUGAGCUGCAACUGUGGAAACAACUUUUUGCUUACGACUGGAAAUUAGCAUUUGGGUUUAGCAAUGUUCAGGUUUUAUGUUUUGUACCCAAAAUUUAUCACUUUUCGCAUUUGGAGUAAUCUGCCCAUUGAAAUGUAUAACCUGCUCGUGUUUUUUGAGUACAC